UACGUAGGGUGCAAGCGUUAAUCGGAAUUACUGGGCGUAAAGCGNGCGUAGGCGGUUUGUUAAGUCAGAUGUGAAAGCCCCGGGCUCAACCUGGGAAUUGCAUUUGAUACUGGCAGGCUNGAGUGUGGUAGAGGGGNGUGGAAUUCCGGGUGUAGCGGUGAAAUGCGUAGAUAUCCGGAGGAACACCAGUGGCGAAGGCNGCUNCCUGGNCCAACACUGACGCUGAGGNGCGAAAGCGUGGGGAGCAAACAGG
This 253-nucleotide ribosomal RNA is filed under the name uncultured bacterium. Its description in RNAcentral is "partial 16S ribosomal RNA". It matches the Rfam family "Bacterial small subunit ribosomal RNA", at positions 524 to 776 of the family's 1533-position model. The record is from RNAcentral.